AUUGAACGCUGGCGGCAUGCCUUACACAUGCAAGUCGAACGGCAGCACGGGAGCAAUCCUGGUGGCGAGUGGCGAACGGGUGAGUAAUAUAUCGGAACGUGCCCGGUCGUGGGGAUAACGUAGCGAAAGCUACGCUAAUACCGCAUACGAUCUACGGAUGAAAGCGGGGGAUCGCAAGACCUCGCGCGAUUGGAGCGGCCGAUAUCAGAUUAGGUAGUUGGUGAGGUAAAGGCUCACCAAGCCGACGAUCUGUAGCUGGUCUGAGAGGACGACCAGCCACACUGGGACUGAGACACGGCCCAGACUCCUACGGGAGGCAGCAGUGGGAAUUUUGGACAAUGGGCGGCAAGCCUGAUCCAGCAAUGCCGCGUGCAGGAUGAAGGCC
Molecule: ribosomal RNA, 385 nt
Filed under: uncultured bacterium
Lineage: Bacteria
Description: bacterial SSU rRNA
Rfam family: Bacterial small subunit ribosomal RNA
Source: RNAcentral